UGCUAUGAACGGGUAUCCGGCCUGAGAGGGUGAACGGACACACUGGANCUGAGACACGGUCCAGACUCCUACGGGAGGCAGCAGUAGGGAAUAUUGCUCACAUGGGGGAAACCCUGAAGCAGCAACGCCGCGUGGAGGAUGAAGGUUUUAGGAUUGUAAACUCCUUUUGUUAGAGAAGAUAAUGACGGUAUCUAACGAAUAAGCACCGGCUAACUCCGUGCCAGCAGCCGCGGUAAUACGGAGGGUGCAAGCGUUACUCGGAAUCACUGGGCCGUAAAGAGCGCGUAGGCGGGAUAGUCAGUCAGGUGUGAAAUCCUAUGGCUUAACCAUAGAACUGCAUUUGAAACUACUAUUCUAGAGUGUGGGAGAGGUAGGUGGAAUUCUUGGUGUAGGGGUAAAAU
RNAcentral lists this ribosomal RNA (401 nucleotides) under Helicobacter pylori. Its description in RNAcentral is "bacterial SSU rRNA". It matches the Rfam family "Bacterial small subunit ribosomal RNA", at positions 272 to 687 of the family's 1533-position model. The record is from RNAcentral. Lineage: Bacteria; Pseudomonadati; Campylobacterota; Epsilonproteobacteria; Campylobacterales; Helicobacteraceae.